UAAAGCAGUUCUAAACCUUUUUUAAUAUCCCCAAAUCCCUUUCUUAGUCCUUCAAACUCCUUUCGUAAAUCGCAUGCUUCAACCAAACCAAAUCGACAAAUCCUUUAAUAAACCAGAUCCCUCUCUCGGUCCUUCAAACUCCAUUCGUAAAUCACAACCAAUCCAUCACUGACGUUCGGCAUAAAGAUUUCUUCAUCUUCAAUCGCGAGUGGAAGCAACCAGUCCUUAUUAUGCGGCGUAUAAGAUUUGGUGCUUUUUGAAAGAUGGGAUCCAUCACUGUCUUCUCCAAACGAUUUAACAAAUAGGUUUUCCGAUUAAAUUCACGUAUUGAAGUAGAUUUUGAGUAAUUGUCAGAGGUGACAUUGUUUGCUGACACUAUUACAGUUCAACAAUUGGGAGUGAAGAUUUGGCAUACCAGAAAGGUCCUUUAGAGAGCUGAUCAUUAUUCCAAUCAAUUGCAAGCAGGUUCGUUUUCCAUAGAUUUGGUGUUAUUUUAAGUCUUCUUUAUCAUUCUUUAGGUAAAUUGUUUUAACUGAUUAUUUCAAAAUUUGAAUUUUUGAAAUUUAUAUCAAUUAUGGAUACUUAUCAAAGUUGUCUAAAUUGUAUCGUAUUUCCAAAUUUAUCAAGAUAACUUAUAUUAAAGUUUUAAUUGAUUCCAAAAUUUGUGUUAGUUUCCAUAAUUUUCGACAAUCACAAUAAUUUUCAAGUUUCUCAGAAUUUGUUCUUCUUCUUUUUUUGUAGAUCAUUCCAUUUAUUCUGCAGGUAUGUAAACUAAAUUAGAUUGUUAUGUAUUUUAAAUGUUUAAUCGCACUUUUUUUAAUCAUUUUCUGGAUUUUUUGUGAUUGAUUUUUUUUUCACAAUCAUUUAGAUAUUGAUUAUAUUAUGAAUAUAUUAAUCUUAUUGGUUUUGAAUUUAAGUUUGAAUAAUAUUUAACUAUUUAGGUAAAUUGUUUUGACUGAUUAUUUCAAAAUUUGAAUUUUUGAAAUUUAUAUCAAUUAUGGAUACUUAUCAAAGUUGUCUAAAUUGUAACGUAUUUCCAAAUUUAUCAAGAUAACUUAUAUUAAAGUUUUAAUUGCUUUCAAAAUUUGUGUUACUUUCCAUAAUUUUCGACAAUCACAUUAAUUUUCAAGUUUCUCAGAAUUUAUUCUUCUUCUUUUUUUGUAGAUCAUUCCACUUAUUCUGCAGGUAUGUAAACUAGAUUAGAGUGUUAUGUAUUUUAAAUGCUUAAUCGCACUUUUUUUAAUCAUUUUUCUGUAUUUUUUAUGAUUGAUUUUUUUUUCACAAUCAUUUAGAUAUGGAUUAUAUUAUGAAUAUAUUAACCUCAUUGGUUUUGAAUUUAAGUUUGAAUAAUAUUUAACUAUUUAGGUAAAUUGUUUUUACUGAUUAUUUCAAAAUUGAAUUUUUGAAAUUUAUAUCAAUUAUGGAUACUUAUCAAAGUUGUCUAAAUUGUAACGUAUUUCCAAAUUUAUCAAGAUAACUUAUAUUAAAGUUUUAGGGGCUGUUUGGCUAACCUCUUAAUGAAUCAUUAAGAGGUUCCCCUCUUAUUCGGACAGAGGUUAGUUGUUUGGUUGGCAAAAUAGCAACCUCUUAAUGGUACCAUUCAGUGCUGUACCAUACAGAAAUAAGAAGAUGCUGAAUGAAAAAAAAGACCCUUCCUACCCUUUCCCUUCUCUUCUCUGUAUGAAAACCUAGGGUUCACCACUUUCCCCCUUUCACCUCUCAUCACCAUCACCUCCGCCCCCACCCCUCUCCUCACCACCUUCUGCCGGUCGCCGCCCUGCUCCUCCCUCUCCUCACCACCGACCGCCAGUCGCCGCCCUCCUCCUACCUCUCUUCCACCCUUUCCCUUUCACCUCUCAUCACCAACACCUCCGCCCCCAACCCCUCCUCCUCACCACCUACCGCCACCCUCAUCCUCCCUCUCCUCACCACUGAACAAGGCCGCCUCCUCCUCCCUCUCUUCCACCCAACAGCGCCUCCACCCACCCAGGUUUGUACAUCGUUUUUUUUUACAUCUUUUUUUUUUUGUAUUAAACUGAUUUUUCAGUUACUUUACUCAUUAUUUCUUUGUGGUUAUGAUUUCGUUUUUUUAUGUAUUUGUUUAUUUUUCUGAUUUUUUUUUCUAUUAGUUUUUUCAGAUUUUUUUUCCAAUAUUUUACUCAUUAUGUUGAUUGAUGUUAUAUGUAGAAUGGUUAUGUUGUAUGUUGAAAAUUCAUAGAUGUUUUCGCUAUGUUGUAUGUUGAAAAUUCAUAGAUGUUUUCGCUAUGUUGUAUAUUGAAAAUUCAUAGAUGUUUUCGC
This 2298-nucleotide long non-coding RNA is filed under the name Helianthus annuus (common sunflower). RNAcentral's name for it is "hypothetical non coding rna". Lineage: Eukaryota; Viridiplantae; Streptophyta; Magnoliopsida; Asterales; Asteraceae. The record is from RNAcentral.